UAUGUUUAUUAAAGAAAAUGAAAGGUUCGUCGAAGUUCCGGUCAGGAAGAAGAAGAAUUUAAUAGUUGAAAAACGUGAAUAUACAAAAUCGACGUUUCGGCCGGGCCCUGCCGACCAUCCUCAGGAAAUAAAAU
Molecule: long non-coding RNA, 134 nt
Organism: Neodiprion fabricii
Lineage: Eukaryota; Metazoa; Arthropoda; Insecta; Hymenoptera; Diprionidae
Exons: 3
Source: RefSeq, a predicted model, not a curated record